This 1160-nucleotide long non-coding RNA is filed under the name Trifolium pratense (red clover). RNAcentral describes it as "long non-coding RNA (TPRA_LNC003723)". Lineage: Eukaryota; Viridiplantae; Streptophyta; Magnoliopsida; Fabales; Fabaceae. The record is from RNAcentral.
AGUUGCAUCCAACUUAUAAACAUGACUUGUAGGACGGUAUUCGCCAGUGCUUCUGACCACAUCAAACGUGGUAAGGGUGUACACGACACCUUCAGAUAGCUGUUUCUGAAAUAGGUAAAUUAGUGUUUUCUUCACACUGCAAUGAAUCCUAGUUCCCUGUAAUGGCAAAACAGUUAGUUAAUAUGACGUAAAUCUCAACAUCUCAACAUGCUAGAAUAGAAAUAGAAAUUAUGUAAAAGAAGUGUUGUAAAUAUACCUCAGAAUCCAUCAAAACCAGUUCUAGUGAUCUAAAUUGGUUUGGUGUGUUGAACUCGGGAACUUCCCACAACCGAACAACCCUUAAUAUUAACCUCCAAUUACGGGGAACAUCAUUGAUAGUUGAAAUCAUAUCAAUGUGGUUUGCCAUCGUAUUUGAAAUUGAAAGACAACACUGUAUUGCUAAAAGCUUAGAUNNNNNNNNNNNNNNNNNNNNNNNNNNNNNNNNNNNNNNNNNNNNCUGAGUUGAUGUGUAUUUAUGGUGUCAUUGAUUGAAUAUUUGAUUUAAUAUGAUGCAGGUAUUCACAAUCGAAAAUCAUGGGAAAUAUUAAUGAGGUCAACCAUGAAGAGCUUAUUUGAAAGAGAAUGGACAUGAUUUGUUUUUCAUUAUGCCUUUCCAUAAAUAUUAGACUUGUUUUGAUCUAAUUUAGGUUUUAUUAUUUAUUUAAUUUUAAAAUUGAAAGCGGUAGUUUAAAAUUGAAAGCUAGUAUACAUUUGUGUAUCAUGCAUGUAUCUGCUAAGUUUGAAAAGAAACCACCAAAGUCUCAACCAAUAAACUUAGCUUGAAAUGAUUAUAUAUAGGUUUGUUGCAUGCUCUUAUAUAUUUCUUCUAUUUAUGUAUGCACGUAUUUCUUCCAUUUAUGUAUGCACAUAUUUCUUCUAUUUAAACGAUCGCACAAUAUAUACUCGAUUCUUCAGCCAAAGAAAUACGUGGAUUAAAAUGGCACAAUAUUUCUUGAAUUUGAGUUAUUUCCUUUUAAAAUUAUUUUUAAUAGGUGCAUUAAAUACGAUUUAUAAACAAUAAUUGAGGAAUGAUUCAAUUUCCAAAUUAGCCAAAGAUUCUAAGUAAAAUGAUAUCAUCAUGUAUUAGCCACAUAGGAAUUGGAAAAAUUGCAAAGGCCUUC